CUCAUCCAAAUUAAGGUUAUCUUUAACGGAAUCGUACCUCCUUUCACAUUUCUUUAUUUAUUACUCACACUUUACCUAUAAAUUCAUGAAUUACUUGGAACAUAAUCAUUUGAGCUAGUGCCUAAGUAGAAAUAUUAGUUGACAGGACCUUGUUUCAACGAUAAAGAAGGAGAUUCUGAUCAUGGGAGUUUAAUUUAAUUUUAUAUUAACUUUUUUAAUUAAAAGGUUGAUUUAUUUUUAUGAUUCUUUUUAUUGAAUACACGAUGUCAUAUAAUUAUAAAAUUUUUAAUUAUAAUUGUAGUUAAAAAAAUACCAUGCAAGUUAAGGAUUUAUUCUGAAAGAUUGUGACCCAUGAGACUAUUAUUUUGUUGAAUAAGUGACAAGUUAGAGUUGGCUCAGCCAAUAGAUGAUGGAAAGAAAAAGUCAUAAAAAAAGUAAGUGGCAACAAAAGAAAAAAAGAAAAGGAUGUGACCCAACAAUUUGAUUGUAAGAGAAUUCCUCUCAAACAUCUAAU
This 514-nucleotide long non-coding RNA is filed under the name Theobroma cacao (cacao). Its description in RNAcentral is "long non-coding RNA (TCAC_LNC003450)". The record is from RNAcentral. Lineage: Eukaryota; Viridiplantae; Streptophyta; Magnoliopsida; Malvales; Malvaceae.